GCACUGAGACUUCGGUUUUUGUGCUUAGUGGCGGACGGGUGAGUAACGCGUGAGCAAUCUGCCUUUCAGAGGGGGAUAACGAUUGGAAACGAUCGCUAAUACCGCAUAACGUAUUCGGACGGCAUCAUCUGAAUACCAAAGGAGCAAUCCGCUGAAAGAUGAGCUCGCGUCUGAUUAGAUAGUUGGUGAGGUAACGGCCCACCAAGUCGACGAUCAGUAGCCGGACUGAGAGGUUGAACGGCCACAUUGGGACUGAGACACGGCCCAGACUCCUACGGGAGGCAGCAGUGGGGAAUAUUGCGCAAUGGGGGAAAA
Molecule: ribosomal RNA, 315 nt
Filed under: uncultured Eubacteriales bacterium
Lineage: Bacteria; Bacillati; Bacillota; Clostridia; Eubacteriales
Description: bacterial SSU rRNA
Rfam family: Bacterial small subunit ribosomal RNA
Source: RNAcentral